Molecule: ribosomal RNA, 567 nt
Filed under: Triticum aestivum (bread wheat)
Lineage: Eukaryota; Viridiplantae; Streptophyta; Magnoliopsida; Poales; Poaceae
Description: partial small subunit ribosomal RNA
Source: RNAcentral
AUGCCGAGUCAACCGACUCCAAUCCUCGUUGACUCGUCUCUGUUUCUGAUCCUUCUACCACGACCAACCCCAUAUAAUUUCCGCCCGAGUCCUCCUCUACCGAUUUUCGCCAAAACGGAGUUCUCCCGUGCCCUAGAACGGCUGUUCGAUCUCACCGGAGUUCAGCCGCUGUUGACCUCCACCAUCGUCGUUUCCGUCGUCGACAGGGGGGGAGCACCAGGACGCCGCCCACGAGCCCAACCCGAAGAAGAUCGCCGCCGCCCCAAAGCUCCUGUCGCCGUCGAUUCUGUCGCGUCUGGACGCAUCCAAACCGAGAACAUCGAGCUCGACCCGAAGCUCCACUCCGACGUCGCCGUCCAGCCGGUCCUCGCGGACGCUAGCAGAAGCUCCGGUCGCCCAGGGGCACAUAUUCGAGUUCGCUGUGUUCCUCCUCACCUCGUCCUGUUCUCCCCUAGCUUGGGAGACCUCUCCAGCGAGCGCACGCUCGAAGUCCGAGCCGGCCACGCCGUCUUCCUCAACUCCGGCGGCCAUCGAGCCAUGUCUCUCCGAUUUUCAGAUGAUCAGUGA